This 253-nucleotide ribosomal RNA is filed under the name uncultured bacterium. RNAcentral's name for it is "partial 16S ribosomal RNA". It matches the Rfam family "Bacterial small subunit ribosomal RNA", at positions 524 to 776 of the family's 1533-position model. The record is from RNAcentral.
UACGUAGGCAGCGAGCGUUGUUCGGAAUUACUGGGCGUAAAGAGUGUGUAGGCGGUGCUCUAAGUUCGGUGUGAAAUCUCCUGGCUCAACUGGGAGGGUGCGCCGGAAACUGGAGUGCUUGAGCGUGGGAGAGGAAAGCGGAAUUCCUGGUGUAGCGGUGAAAUGCGAAGAUAUCAGGAGGAACACCUGUGGUGUAGACGGCUUUCUGGACCAUAGCUGACGCUGAGACACGAAAGCGUGGGUAGCAAACAGG